RNAcentral lists this ribosomal RNA (444 nucleotides) under uncultured bacterium. RNAcentral's name for it is "partial 16S ribosomal RNA". It matches the Rfam family "Bacterial small subunit ribosomal RNA", at positions 29 to 523 of the family's 1533-position model. The record is from RNAcentral.
ACGAACGCCGGCGGCGUGCUUAACACAUGCAAGUCGAGUGCACUUCGGGUGCACGGCAGACGGCUGAGUAACGCGUGGGAACGUACCCUUGGGUCGGGCAUAACCUGCCGAAAGGCAGGAUAAUUCCCGAUACGUCUUCGGAUGAAAGAUUUAUCGCCCGAGGAGCGGGCUGUGUUCGAUUAGUUGGUUGGUGGGGUAAUGGCCUACCAAGAGGAUGAUCGAUAGUUGGUCUGAGAGGAUGACCAGCCAGACUGGGACUAAGACGCGGCCCAGACUCCUACGGGAGGCAGCAGUGAGGAAUUUUGCGCAAUGGACGAAAGCCUGACGCAGCCAUGCCGCGUGAAUGAUGAAGGUCUUAGGAUUGUAAAAUUCUUUCACCGGGGACGAUAAUGACGGUACCCGGAGAAGAAGCCCCGGCUAACUUCGUGCCAGCAGCCGCCGUAA